Molecule: RNA transcript, 1387 nt
Organism: Zea mays
Lineage: Eukaryota; Viridiplantae; Streptophyta; Magnoliopsida; Poales; Poaceae
Exons: 5
Source: RefSeq, marked validated
UCAACGAACUAAACUCGAGCUUGGUCGCUUGGCCAUGCACUGUCCCUGCGCCGCAGUUGACUCCGUUUGUCUCGCGGUCUCGCCCCCGUCUCGCUCUCCGACGACUGGUGUGCCGCCGCCGUCCUGUGCCAGGUGCUAAGGCCUUCGUCAGUAUCUUCGCCGGCGACGAGCACCCACCAGCUCCUUGAUUUCUAGAAAGAAAGGAGGGGUUGUUUUCCUACAUCUUGAUCAUUUGGAGAUUUUUCUGUCAUUCUAAUGGAGGUAAAGGAAGUAUGUGUCCAAGAUAUGUUGGUUGACCUGGAGAAAGGCAAGUGCUUGCUACCCAUAGAGGACAAUAGUGGGAUGAAGGUUAAUUCAAUAGCUGGGCAUGCAAGUACAAUGCGGCCCAGCUCAUGGGAUGAUCUUGUAGCACUGAAGGAUGAUAAGAGUCACCACAUAUGUUGUUUCUCUUCACACCGUCAAGAUUCAUCUGUUAAAAGUGGAGAGCCUAUGAAAGCUGAAGGGGAGAUCAAGGUUGGGAUUUUGGAUAAGUCAACUGCUGAUAAGGAAAAUAAAAAAUGGUAUAAGAAGCCGCCACGACCUCCAAGAUCACAGACUACUUCACCAUUAGACCCUGCUGAUCAGAAGCUCAUCAGUGCACUAUCGGAGCUUGCGGUGUUAAAGAAGGCUAGGAUUGAGCGUAUGAAGGCAUUGAAGAAGAUGAAGAAUUCCAAACCAGCAUCUUCCAUUGGGAACUUGGUGGCUUUGAUCAUUACCGUCAUCUUAUGUUUCUUCAUACUUUGGCAAGGCUUGCUGAUGAAAUAAAACACUGGUUUUUCUCAAGGCACGGGGUGAGCAUAAGCUUCCAUAGGCCAUCUAUAUCAUCAGUCAGAAUGCAUGGUGGUCUUAUCUCCAUCCAGUUCUACAUUAAGAAUGUCACAACUGUUAGCCCCCACAGUUCCUCUGCAGCUCAAUAAUACUGGAGUGGCUACGAUGAUGGAAAUCCAUGGUGAGAUCAGGAGUGUCACUGAAUAAUUAGAUUGCUGGGCUUCGUUCGUCAUAGUCGCGUCGUGGCGAGUCCCCUCUGAUUUUGCAUAUGCUCCACGGAAUCACCGUUGUCCGGUUUGCUCCCCAGGCCCUGUACAGUGUAAACUUCUGAAAGUUGAAAUUGCCCUUUGCAGAAUACUGGUGUUGUAAAUUAUCACUGGUUGAUUGGUGAUAUUUUGUAACUGUUUUUUUUAACAAGGGCUGUUAUUUUGUUGAAGCCAUUUAGGAAGAGAAAACUAUUGCUUUUUUAGUGACAUCGUGGAGUUAAUUUGCUUGGAUGAAUUUUAAGAAACUAGUGCAACUGGUUAGGUAUCUGUAUAUUGCUACGGUUUCUAUAAAUCACAUAGGUAGAUCUUAUUUA